RNAcentral lists this ribosomal RNA (380 nucleotides) under uncultured eukaryote. RNAcentral's name for it is "partial 18S ribosomal RNA". It matches the Rfam family "Eukaryotic small subunit ribosomal RNA", at positions 592 to 976 of the family's 1831-position model. The record is from RNAcentral.
CAAUAGCGUAUAUUAAAGUUGUUGCGGUUAAAAAGCUCGUAGUUGGAUUUCUGCUGAGAACGACCGGUCCGCCCUUUGGGUGUGUAUCUGGCUCUUUCUUGGCAUCUUCUUGGUGAACGUUGCUGCACUUGACUGUGUGGAGCGCUACCCAGGACUUUUACUUUGAGGAAAUUAGAGUGUUUCAAGCAGGCAUACGCCUUGAAUACAUUAGCAUGGAAUAAUAAGAUAGGACCUCGGUUCUAUUUUGUUGGUUUCUAGAGCUGAGGUAAUGAUUAAUAGGGAUAGUUGGGGGCAUUCGUAUUUAACUGUCAGAGGUGAAAUUCUAAGAUUCGUUGAGGACCAACCACUGCGAAAGCAUUUGUCAAGGAUGUCUCCAUUAA